AGACGUCUACAUUAGAUACCCGUGUAGUCCCAGCCCUAAACGAUGCGCGUUAGGUGUAUCGGUGACCACGAGUCACCGAGGUGCCGAAGGGAAACCGUGAAACGUGCCGCCUGGGAAGUACGGUCGCAAGGCUGAAACUUAAAGGAAUUGGCGGGGAGCACCACAACGGGUGGAGCCUGCGGUUUAAUUGGACUCAACGCCGGGAAGCUCACCGGAUAAGACAGCGGAAUGAUUGCCGGGCUGAAGACUCUGCAUGACUAGCUG
RNAcentral lists this ribosomal RNA (264 nucleotides) under uncultured archaeon. Its description in RNAcentral is "partial 16S ribosomal RNA". It matches the Rfam family "Archaeal small subunit ribosomal RNA", at positions 717 to 982 of the family's 1478-position model. The record is from RNAcentral.